Ictalurus punctatus (channel catfish) is the source of this 413-nucleotide long non-coding RNA. Lineage: Eukaryota; Metazoa; Chordata; Actinopteri; Siluriformes; Ictaluridae. The record is from Ensembl.
GUGGAGUGUGUAGAGAGUGUGGAGAUGUGUGGAGUGUGUGGAGUGUGUGGAGUGUGUGUGUGUGGAGUGUGUGUGUGUGGAGUGUGUGGAGUGUGUGUGUGUGGAGUGUGUGUGUGUGGAGUGUGUGGAGUGUGUGUGUGUGGAGUGUGUGUGUGUGGAGUGUGUAGAGAGUGUGUGUGUGGAGUGUGUGUGUGUGGAGUGUGUGGAGUGUGUGUGUGUGGAGUGUGUGUGUGUGGAGUGUGUAGAGAGUGUGGAGUAUGUGGAGCAUAUGGAGAGUGUGGAACUUGUGGAGUGUGUGCGUGGAGCAUCUGUGGAGUGUGUGGAGCGUGUGUGUGGAGCGUGAGUGUGGAGUGUGAGUGGAGUGUGAGUGGAGUGUGUGAGGUUUGUUUGGAGGUUGAGGAGUGUGUGGAGCA